Molecule: long non-coding RNA, 288 nt
Filed under: Brassica napus (rape)
Lineage: Eukaryota; Viridiplantae; Streptophyta; Magnoliopsida; Brassicales; Brassicaceae
Description: long non-coding RNA (BNAP_LNC024728)
Source: RNAcentral
GUGUUGGUGGCGGCGGAGGGUGGUGUUGGAGAAGGAGGUGUGAGGGCGAUGCUGACGUGUCCGGGAUCGGUUGGAGGAGGGGGUGAGUUUCCGGUGGGCUUCUGAGGUGUUGGAGAAGGAGGUGUGAGGGCGAUGCUGACGUGUCCGGGAUCGGUUGGAGGAGGAGGUGAGUUUCCGGUGGGCUUCUGAGCUUCGGAGCGUAGACUCGAGGAGCUGAGGUCAGUCAUCGAGAGUUGUUAUGGAGGAAGUUGCUUCGUUAUGCAUUAAAAACAGAGACGGAAGAAAAAA